CCAGCUCCAAUAGCGUAUAUUAAAGUUGUUGCAGUUAAAAAGCUCGUAGUUGAAACUUGGGCCUGGCUGGCGGGUCCGCCUCACCGCGUGCACUCGUCCGGCCGGGCCUUCCUUCUGAAGAACCUCAUGCCCUUCACUGGGCGUGCUGGGGAAUCAGGACUUUUACUUUGAAAAAAUUAGAGUGUUCAAAGCAGGCCUUUGCUCGAAUACGUUAGCAUGGAAUAAUAAAAUAGGGCGUGCGUUUCUAUUUUGUUGGUUUCUAGAGACGCCGCAAUGAUUAACAGGAACAGUCGGGGGCAUCAGUAUUCAGUUGUCAGAGGUGAAAUUCUUGGAUUUACUGAAGACUAACUACUGCGAAAGCAUUUGCCAAGGAUGUUUUCAUUAAUCAGUGAACGAAAGUUAGGGGAUCGAAGACGAUCAGAUACCGUCGUAGUCUUAACCGUAAACUAUGCCGACUAGGGAUCGGGCGAUGUUCUUUUUCUGACUCGCUCGGCACCUUACGAGAAAUCAAAGUUUUUGGGUUCUGGGGGGAUUAUGGUCGCAAGGCUGAAACUUAAAGAAAUUGACGGAAGGUCACCACCAGGCGUGGAGCCUGCGGCUUAAUUCGACUCAAC
This 614-nucleotide ribosomal RNA is filed under the name uncultured fungus. RNAcentral's name for it is "SSU rRNA". It matches the Rfam family "Eukaryotic small subunit ribosomal RNA", at positions 585 to 1204 of the family's 1831-position model. The record is from RNAcentral. Lineage: Eukaryota; Fungi.